AUGGAGGAGUCUCCUGCUGUGUCAACAGAAGACGAGACCAUCACCCCCAGCACCAGCCAACAGGCAGCAUCAGAGCAGUCUCUGGAAUCUCCCUCAGAGGAGAUGAGCAGCCCCAGCCUCUAUAGUUGGGUAACAUCAAGGCCAUCCCACAGCAACAUCCCAGAAACUGAGGACAGCAGCUGCUCUCGCAGUCGGAGGCCUGACCGCCGGCAAAACCGCACCCGCCGGCAAAGUCGGCCCCAAAAUCCACAGCAUCGGUCCAGAAGUCCUCAUGACAGGAGCCACGUGCCGGAACCAACUGCUGCGAGGUGCAGGCCCAGGCAGGGACAAUCAGGAACAUCCCGCAGGCCAAGACGCUCCCGCCGGCAAAGUCGUCCCCAAAAUCCACACCUUCGGUCCCCGAGUCCCUAUGACAGGAGACGUUCGCCACACCUCCGGUCCCCUAGUCCCCAUGACAGGAUUUGUUUACCACCACCAAGUCCUCGGAGGCGCAGCCGCAGCGAGGAGGCAUCAGAGACAUCCAGCAACCGAAACCGCUCCCGCCAGCAACGUCGGCCCCAAAAUCCACACCUUCGGUCCAGAAGUCGACGUCACAGGAGCCAUGUGAGAACACCAAGGGCUGGGAGCUGCACCUCCACCCAGGAAGCAUCAGAGACAUCCCGCAGCCGAAACCGCUCCCGCCAGCAACGUCGGCCGCAAAAUCCACACCUUCGGUCCAGGAGUCGCCGUGACAGAAGCCAUGUCCCAGCACCAAGUACUGGGAGACGCAGGCCCAGUCAGGAAGAAUCAGGGACAUCCCGCAGGCGAAGUAGCUCCCGCCGCCAAAGUCGGACCUCAAAUCCAUCUGGCCGCUCCAGAAGUCCCCUUGACAGGAACUGCACGCCAGCACCGAGUGCUGGCAGGCGAAACUCAAGGGAGACAGCAGCCAGGACUUCCCAAAGGGAACAGCACUCCCGCCGGCAGCGUCGGACCUCAAAUUCAUCCAACAGAUCCAGAAGUCGCCGUGAUGGGAGGCGUGAUAGAGCACCCAGUGCUGGGAGCCCCACUCACCGCUCAGACGGUGAGACAGGGACUCCCCACUGA
RNAcentral lists this long non-coding RNA (1083 nucleotides) under Manacus vitellinus (golden-collared manakin). RNAcentral's name for it is "lncRNA (ENSMVIG00005007985.1)". The record is from RNAcentral. Lineage: Eukaryota; Metazoa; Chordata; Aves; Passeriformes; Pipridae.